UCGCUGCCUGAAAAGAAAUAAGUUACAA
Molecule: small RNA, 28 nt
Filed under: Bombyx mori (domestic silkworm)
Lineage: Eukaryota; Metazoa; Arthropoda; Insecta; Lepidoptera; Bombycidae
Description: ovarian small RNA-28850
Source: RNAcentral